Molecule: long non-coding RNA, 3679 nt
Organism: Thunnus maccoyii (southern bluefin tuna)
Lineage: Eukaryota; Metazoa; Chordata; Actinopteri; Scombriformes; Scombridae
Exons: 10
Source: RefSeq, a predicted model, not a curated record
AUCAUCGCUGUUUAAAAAAUUUGGUCAGUAGGGGUGAGCAAGUACACCAUUAUCUGUAUGUUCAACCAGCUAAAUUAUUAAUCUGUAAAUAAUUAAUCUGUAUUCGUAUCCGUACUCGGAGUGGGCGAGGCUUAAACUGGAAGUGGGUGGGGCCUAACCAGAAGUGGAAAUGGAAAGCCUGAAAUGGAUAUGGGUUGAAACAGCGAGAGUUGCAAGCUGUUAAUCCCUGUAGACAGAGUGGAUAUGACGAUGGCAAGAUAGUGUUCUGUAGCACAGAAGUAGUGAACUUUGUAUAGGCUCUAUGUAGGGGAGGAGCUCUGUGUGUGGCUGGACUACCACAGAAUGAUAUGGACACAGGUUCCCAACGAGCAUUUUCCUCCAUUACGAAUACGGAUAUUGACACAUUUUACUUGGAUGAUACUCAUGCUCGUAAAAAGUACAUUAGCCUUACUGGAUACUCGUUUCAUCUAAUUAUUUGGUUCAACCCUAUUGGGUUAGAUGCACACUGUUAGUAACGCACCUGAUUGAAGUGGCUCUCAUAUUCCAGGUGGUGCAGAAGACAGAGCCGACACACAAAGCAGGCUUAAAAUGCAGGACUCUGAUGUAGAACCAACACAUUGUCUGACAUUUUUUGAGACCUUGCCAAGAUCGCUUGUGGUUGGAUUAAAAGCAUCCAAGUUCAUCUAAAAGGGCAAACUCAUCACUCCCAGUGAUCAGGAGGAAGUGAUUUCACCAGGAUCCAGCUGCAUAAGCCACUGCUGAGUCCAACACUCAUACAUCAAUACAACACAUCACCUGGUAAGCUUGCGCUGUUCGACAUAAUUUAAUUCUGUUGGGAUGCAACAACGAAAAUGAGACUAUAAGUUGCUAGCCACCUCAGCACGCCCACCACCCCUACUUCCCAACUAUGCGUGAGUGUAGCAAUAGUAGUAGUAGUCACGUCUUUAUCUCCGUUUUCUUUAAAUUCAUGUUAGAAGGGUGCCUUGUGGUGUUUCUUGAGCUUAGUAACAGACUGUAGCAAUCAAUCUGACACAACAACGUCCCCUUUGUUUCAGCUGCGUUUAUCCUCAUCACUCCCUACAAUGUCUUCCAGCUGAUUAGCAUGCUGUGCACUGCGGAGGGAUGAUUAGUAGUUAGCUGUGAUGUGGUGUUUUUCCAGGUCAUCUUCAAUUACAACGUGCAAUGUGUGAAAUCAGUAUGUCAGCACUAAUCUCUGUGCCUUCAGCUUCAACAUCCCUGCUUCUCAUUAAUGAUGUUUUAGGACAAAAUAAACUGGGUUUAACAGACAAUUUCCCUUUACACAGUAUAACUGCCUCGCUUUUCCUUCUCCAUCACUUGUUUCCCUUUAUUCAGAAGAAGCCAGUUGCUGCUGUUCAGUCCUGUACAGUAUGAAAAAACAGCUUUCACUGAAGGACAGAAUCCAUCUCAUUAGCUUUACUCAGGGGUUGUUAUUUAUUAUAAUUUUAUUAUGUUGACAGUUGGCAUGCUUCCUGAAUCACACACAUCUGACAACUUUAUUGUCAAGUCCUUUUUAUGAAGGGUGUCUUUGAAAAGCAGUUAAAGGUACAUACAGCAUGUAGCAGGGUCGGACUGGGAACAAAAUUCGGCCCUGGCAAUUUUCGUGUGGACCGGCCCCGUUUUUCUCCAACAUACACACUUAUGAAGCAAUAUCAGGCUAUUUAUAACAUACAUAAACUAAGCAAUAGAUAUCAAGUUGGCACCCUAACAACAUGUGUACUUACAGGGUUUCAUAAAGUAAUGUAAUAAAUAAAUAGCCAAAAAAUAGCCUAGAGGAAAAGUCGGCACUCCAAGAGGUGCACUUAAGAUUUUAUUUGUUUGACAGUUGAUAUGGGCAGCCCAGCUCUCAGCGCACUUUUGCUACAAUCCGUAACUUCACAAAUAAAAUAAAUAUGACAUAAUUAUAUGUCAUGAAUAUAGUCUAUGACAAAAUGCAAUGCUGUCAUCAUGAAACAAAAGAGCCAAAACUCAAUUUUCACACUGGACAAAAGCCUUGCUAUGAUGAUCUGGAAAUGUGAGAGCUAUUUAUAGUCGAUCAACCGACCUUGUGUUCACAGCUCAUCUAAUGCAAUUCACACAUCAGGCUUAACAGUCAGGAUUUCAUGCUACCGACACUAUUUAAACAUUCAUUCACUGCUAUUAUCAGGCUGUGACAAGCAGCAUGCCUGCACCCCAUUGGAGCGAACCCAGAGUAUAAACGUCAACCACAGUGAUACAGAUGUUGAACAUGUCACAACUUGGCACUUGAAAAAAAAACAGGAGACACACAGGUCAGCACCACCUCAGCCUAACUGCCAAGGGAAAAACAAGUUGGGCCACUGCUGAUGACGUCAUACCAUUGACUGCAAGGUGGUGAUGGAGUGAUGGCCUGUGUAUGGAGAGUAGCUGUAAUUUUGGAAUACAACCAACAAAGAACCAAGGAAAGGAGUUAUGAAGCACAAGCCUAUGCCUGAAACCCUGAGAAACGCCAGCUUAAUGGAACUACAACAUGUUCUCUGCUCACCAUCCACUGUCUGGGCUGCUUUUCCAUUGGUCAGGUGCAUUGAAAGGCCAAUCAUCUAACCUCCCACUUGCAGCUGGUGGACAAACAGAGGAAGAAGAAGACAAAAGCGUAACAAGAGGAAAACAACAGAUAAAAGAUAGAAAGAAGCUCAAACAGAAUGAAGGAGUGCGGGAAGGGAGAGACGUACAUAUGGAGUCAAGGACAGACAGACAAACAGAUAAAGGGAGGAGAGGAAGUACGUCUCACUGUUAGUCCACAGCAGGGACUUGUGUAGCCUUGGCAUGCGAUGUUAUCAGGGGCAGGAGUCAACCUUUUUUUUACCUUUCAGUCUUUCUUUACCACUCUUUUGUCCAUGCUAUGUUGCUACUGUGUUAAGGCCCAGUCACACCAGCAUCUAAAAUGAUGAGAAUUCACUGUGGAAUUGAUUUAUUUCUAUGGAAUUGCCACAAUAAGUGGAUAUGCACACAGGGUUGAAGUUAGUCCGUGCAAAUCUUUCACAUCAAGUUCAACUUUGGUGAACUUUGACAUGGGAGGUCGCACUUUUCACCAAUAACAAACCGUCUAACAGCUAGGUUCCAUCAAAAUCCAACUUUUAACCAAGUUUCCAGGAAAUCAGCAAACGAUAAAUCUAAUUAACGCAUUUCCAUCCACUAUUUGUUAAGUCUAUUUCCAUUGAACUUUGUCGCAUUUCACUUUUAUCAAUAUGCUGUUUGUCUGUGUUUUCACUCACAUUUUUUUUAUGCACAAAUUAAAAAUGCUAAGAAAAACAAGUGCAGAAUCAGAGAAAGCUUAUAGCUUAUUAGCUUUGUUGUAUCAUGCACUUUUAUUUAACUCUGUUCUACCAGAGUAUAAGUGCUCCACAAGACAAGCAUGUGGUGUAGGCAGUUAAGUGACACAAGUCUAGAAUAUACGUUUCUUAAAGAUAUUGUGUGAAUCUAUCAUCACAUUAGUCACACAGCUAGCUAAAAUUGCUGGCAAGCUAACUAGCUUGGAGAGUUAUGGUAAUUAAAUAGGACUUGCAUGUUCCCUGCUGGCUAAGUUGUUAGCUACAGUAGUUCAUCAACUACUACACGCACAUUUCUAGCAUCAUUUAUUUAGCAAGGAUGCACAGAUGAACUUUGCUGUAUGUGCCCUAGCCUUUCCCUGCAAAUCAUUUUG